Molecule: long non-coding RNA, 2240 nt
Organism: Gadus macrocephalus (Pacific cod)
Lineage: Eukaryota; Metazoa; Chordata; Actinopteri; Gadiformes; Gadidae
Exons: 2
Source: RefSeq, a predicted model, not a curated record
AGAAGUACAUUUUAUUAACUUUUUCUGUACAUUAAGGGGGUUCAAUAUCCGCACGGCUGUUAACCAUGGCAAAUAUUAACACAUAGAAAUGGUAUAAUAAGAAAAUAAAAAGGCACAAUUUUUUUUCCAAUCUUAAGUAAAAGGUCAACACAAACCAAAAAGGGCUUUCUUAGAACAUGAGUAAACAGCAGGAGUAAUACUGUGGAGGGUGACGCGUGUUGGAGGCAGCUCCAGCCCAGGGAGGAGGGGACCAGAGGAGGGUGUAUUGCUCCGUCAGUACGGGUUCAUGGGGGCCAGAGAGGACCAGAACCAGUACAGGUUGGUUUCACAGACCAGGCAGCAUUGAAAUAGAUCAAAACGUUGGAAAGAAAAACAGUAAAAGCAGCAUUGGGGAGAGGGGGGGGGCGUCUCCGAGUCCAAGACAUCAUGCAAGCAUCAGGUCACCAGCAGGCAUUUUUGUCCCUCUUGAGAAAAAUACUAAAUUAAGUCACCCAGAGGGUCAGAGGUCGUGUUUUCAGAAACCGUCGACCCAUCGUUUGUACAUAAGUCAUUCAAUAAGUGGCAACGACAAAAAGAAAAAAGGAAUUUGAGAGGUUGCACAGCUGUGUCGCUGAAUGACUGUGAGAAUGGGGGUCCCCUAGGGAGAGAGGGUUAAGGGUGACGGGGGAAGGGUUCAGGGAAAAGAGAGACCGAGGCAGUUGUGGAGCAUCUUUACAGCAGAGAUGGUCGGAGCUCCCAUCGUAGGGCCUUGAUCACCUCCAGCUCGUGGUCACCAGAGAGAACAUCACCCUCCACACCGAACGCCAACGGUCCUCCCACACUGGGAUCAGUUGACACCGCCCCCGCCCCCCUCCCAGCACACCACCGCACUGCUAUCGUGGAUGGGAUCAGGGGAACACAGUAACGCUACCUAGAAGACACACAGGAGGAUUGCAUGUGCAGGAGAGAAACGUUGCAUUUCUCUCAGGGAAGUAAAUAAAAAAGAAAAAAAGAAGGAUAAAAGGCUUUCACUGCUGAGUUCUGCUCCCACCCCACUAUCAUUGACCUGUAUCCUCACUUGAUUGGGUGUGUGGGGGGGGAGAGGUUGCUUACUGCAUCAAAAUGCUUUUGGCCCCCUAGUUAAAUGGCCGCCAUGUUUUUAAAUAACGGUGCUUAAAGGACUGCUGUGAAGCGAUGCUUGUAGCGGCUGCUAUCGAGCCACGCUGGGAUAUAACUCUUCCCGGUACGUUCGAUCGCUGCAGCAUCGUACGGCUGGGUGUCCCAGACAGACACCGCAAGGGCAGCUUUAGAAACACCAAUGUGUCCUGCAAAUCAUACGGCACCGACAACACAGUGAGAUGAAGUCACACUGACAUUAAUGAGGACCGCUUGGCAAACAGGGCUGAGGUUGUGGGUUUGAGUCCCUGUUCUAUGGUUCCACUCAGUUUCCUAAGCCAUAGCACACAUUAUACAGCCACAUAUAUAUUAUAUACAUCUUUUAUGUAUACAAGGUUCAGUCAGUCAAUCUGAACCGCAGACAGGGCCUAGUGAUUACAUACAACAGUGAUGUAAUCAUUUCAAGCCGUAACAUUUUGGCAGGCUGUCUAGCCCUUGAAACAAAAAGCCCAGCGUUCGUACAGUAUGGUUGAUUCCCUCUCUUGUGCACAACAAUACUCGCAUCCAAAACAAAACAAAAAAAAAACAUACAUCUGGAAAACAGGCUUUCAGAAAAAUGUCUGACGUUUUACAACUGUAACAAAUCCGUGGAAAAUUGAGGACAAAACACUAAAUUAAAGUCGAUCGAUUCCAUGAUGAUAUAGUUAACACCACAGUAACACAUUCUGCUUAACAAAAACCACACACACACACACACACACAACGAUGAUUCUGUAAAUGUAAAGGACGCUUUAAGGCAAAACGAUAACAGACACUAGUCCAGCUUAGGACCAGGAUGUGGUGGUGGGGUGCUGGGGGAGAGGUAGGGGCACUGGGAAGAGGUGGGGGCACUGGGAAGAGGUGGGGGCACUGGGAAGGGGUGGGGGCACUGGGAAGAGGUGGGGGCACUGGGAAGGGAGGAAGGGGUACUGGGAAGAGGAAGGGGUUAGGGCUGGGCGGUAUGUCGAUAUUUGAAAUAUUUCAAUAUUUUUUCAAACGAGAUGUGGAAUGAGACAAUAUCGUCAACAUCAAUAUAGUUUAAUUUGCGUUGAAAGUACAGCAUAUUUUAUCCAAAUAACAGCAGUUUCGAACCGCGAUUGCCGCCU